CCAGACUCCUACGGGAGGCAGCAGUGAGGAAUAUUGGUCAAUGGCCGGAAGGCUGAACCAGCCAAGUCGCGUGAGGGAUGACGGCCCUACGGGUUGUAAACCUCUUUUGCCGGGGAGCAACGGGCGCCACGUGUGGCGCCACUGAGAGUACCCGGAGAAAAAGCAUCGGCUAACUCCGUGCCAGCAGCCGCGGUAAUACGGAGGAUGCGAGCGUUAUCCGGAUUUAUUGGGUUUAAAGGGUGCGUAGGCGGGAUCGUAAGGACGUGGGGAAAUUGAGGGGCCCAACCCCCUGCCCGCCAUUGAAACUGGCGCUCUUGAGUGGAAGAGAAGUAUGCGGAAUGCGUGGUGUAGCGGUGAAAUGCAUAGAUAUCACGCAGAACCCCGAUUGCGAAGGCAGCAUGCCGGCUUCCGACUGACGCUGAAGCACGAAAGCGUGGGGAUCGAACAGGAUUAGAUACCCGAGUAC
Molecule: ribosomal RNA, 466 nt
Filed under: uncultured bacterium
Lineage: Bacteria
Description: bacterial SSU rRNA
Rfam family: Bacterial small subunit ribosomal RNA
Source: RNAcentral